RNAcentral lists this ribosomal RNA (253 nucleotides) under uncultured bacterium. RNAcentral's name for it is "partial 16S ribosomal RNA". It matches the Rfam family "Bacterial small subunit ribosomal RNA", at positions 524 to 776 of the family's 1533-position model. The record is from RNAcentral.
UACGUAGGUGACCAGCGUUGUCCGGAUUUACUGGGCGUAAAGAGCGCGCAGGCGGUCGUUCAAGUCGAGUGUGAAAGCCCCCGGCUCAACUGGGGAGGGUCAUUCGAUACUGAUCGACUCGAAGGCAGGAGAGGGAAGUGGAAUUCCCGGUGUAGUGGUGAAAUGCGUAGAUAUCGGGAGGAACACCAGUGGCGGAGGCGACUUCCUGGCCUGCUCUUGACGCUGAGGCGCGAAAGCUAGGGGAGCAAACGGG